GUAAACGAGGUCACCCACGAUUUGAGUAACUAAACUGAUCCUGAACAAACACCAAUACUCUGCCACCC
Caenorhabditis elegans is the source of this 68-nucleotide non-coding RNA. NCBI's taxonomy places the organism in Eukaryota, Metazoa, Nematoda, Chromadorea, Rhabditida, Rhabditidae. The record is from Ensembl.